CUGAGUUACAAGGACACAUCCCUGGUUGACUCACUAAUAAAUAUAAUGUAUUAUUUUAUUGCCUCUGUCUCAUCUCUCCUUAGUUCCAUCAGUGGUGGCGUCACGGAGCCUCGGUGAGGCCACCACUUCAUCUCGGAGAAACUCAGCUUUAAGAGAUGGUAGGAUCCGCUUAGUUGGUGGACUGGACUACUGCCAGGGACGGGUGGAGGUCUUCUACCAGGGCAGCUGGGGGACGGUGUGUGAUGACGACUGGGGUAGGAGAGACGCAGGGGUGGUGUGUCAGCAGAUUGGCUGUGGCCACGCCGUUUCCUCCACCACCAAUGCCUACUUUGGUUACGGCACAGGACUGAUUCUACUGGACAAUGUCAACUGUAAUGGUUACGAGAACCAGCUGAGUAAAUGCUACAGUCUGGGAUGGGGGAUACACAACUGUGGACAUCAUGAGGACGCUGGGGUUAUCUGUUCAGGCUCCACCACAGUUUCUCCCAAGAACACAAUGCCCAUGGGAAGGGGAUUCUUCCAGACUGCCAGCAUUACAG
Oncorhynchus mykiss (rainbow trout) is the source of this 539-nucleotide non-coding RNA. Lineage: Eukaryota; Metazoa; Chordata; Actinopteri; Salmoniformes; Salmonidae. The record is from RefSeq and is a predicted model, not a curated record.